RNAcentral lists this unclassified non-coding RNA (236 nucleotides) under soil metagenome. RNAcentral describes it as "partial internal transcribed spacer 1". The record is from RNAcentral.
UUGAAUUUUAAUGAAGAGUUUGGUUGUAGCUGGCCCAUUCAUUUGGGCAUGUGCACACCUUCCUCUUUCAUCCCACACACACCUUGUGAACCUGUGAGACAGAGAUGGGGAAUUUACUUGCUGCUUUUUUGGAAUACAAAGGCAAUAGGUUAUUGGACCCCCCCUCUGUCUACUCAAUUAAUAUAAACUCAAUUUAUUUUUAAAACGAAUGUAAUGGAUGUAACACAUCUCAUACU